AUGAAUGGUUCGGAUGAAUCCACCAACAAUAACCCCCCGGAGAUUGAAAUUCCAACUUUAAUUACAUGGAGUCAAGGAGGAAACGAGGUGUUUGUGGAAGGAUCAUGGGAUAACUGGACAUCAAGGUUUACCCUUUACCUGAUGUGUUAUUCGAAUGUUCUAUCCAAUUCUGAAAACGACAUGCUAAAAUACCAAAUAAAUAUCCAUAUGAGUACUUUCAGGAAGGUGUUAGAGAGGUCUGGGAAAGAUCACGCUGUGUUGUUGGUUCUGCCAUCUGGAAUAUAUCAUUACAGGAUGAUUGUUGAUGGGGUGCCGAGAUAUGUGUCCGAACUACCUCAUGUGACUGAUGAAAGAGGGCAGGUGGCCAACCUCCUUGAUGUCCAUGAGUAUAUCCCAGAUAGUCUUGACAGCGUGGCGGAGUUCGACGCGCCCCCAUCGCCUGAGCAGUGA
Molecule: ribosomal RNA, 450 nt
Filed under: Triticum aestivum (bread wheat)
Lineage: Eukaryota; Viridiplantae; Streptophyta; Magnoliopsida; Poales; Poaceae
Description: partial small subunit ribosomal RNA
Source: RNAcentral